This 239-nucleotide long non-coding RNA is filed under the name Elaeis guineensis (African oil palm). Its description in RNAcentral is "long non-coding RNA (EGUI_LNC066015)". Lineage: Eukaryota; Viridiplantae; Streptophyta; Magnoliopsida; Arecales; Arecaceae. The record is from RNAcentral.
UCAUUAACAUGAUCUAAAUCGAUCAACAAAUAUCUUUAGGGUCAUAGGCUAAUCAUAGUCACGAUUUCACCAAUGACUGGUAAACUAUAAUAUCCAUAAUUUCACCCGUGAUGGCAAAUCAAAAUAUCUGUGAUUUCGUCCAUGGUGGCAAACAAUACUAGUGUGAUUUCGCCCAUAAUGGCAAAUCAUACUAGCCAUGCUUCCAUCUAUGAUGGAAAACCAUACUAGUUGUGCUCCUG